UCCUGGAAACGGGUGGUAAUGCCGGAUGCUCCAGUUGAUCGCAUGGUCUUCUGGGAAAGCUUUCGCGGUAUGGGAUGGGGUCGCGUCCUAUCAGCUUGACGGCGGGGUAACGGCCCACCGUGGCUUCGACGGGUAGCCGGCCUGAGAGGGCGACCGGCCACAUUGGGACUGAGAUACGGCCCAGACUCCUACGGGAGGCAGCAGUGGGGAAUAUUGCACAAUGGGCGCAAGCCUGAUGCAGCGACGCCGCGUGAGGGAUGGAGGCCUUCGGGUUGUAAACCUCUUUUAUCGGGGAGCAAGCGAGAGUGAGUUUACCCGUUGAAUAAGCACCGGCUAACUACGUGCCAGCAGCCGCGGUAAUACGUAGGGUGCAAGCGUUAUCCGGAAUUAUUGGGCGUAAAGGGCUCGUAGGCGGUUCGUCGCGUCCGGUGUGAAAGUCCAUCGCUUAACGGUGGAUCCGCGCCGGGUACGGGCGGGCUUGAGUGCGGUAGGGGAGACUGGAAUUCCCGGUGUAACGGUGGAAUGUGUAGAUAUCG
This 536-nucleotide ribosomal RNA is filed under the name Bifidobacterium longum subsp. suillum. RNAcentral describes it as "bacterial SSU rRNA". It matches the Rfam family "Bacterial small subunit ribosomal RNA", at positions 148 to 699 of the family's 1533-position model. The record is from RNAcentral. Lineage: Bacteria; Bacillati; Actinomycetota; Actinomycetes; Bifidobacteriales; Bifidobacteriaceae.